Non-coding RNA from Streptomyces zinciresistens K42, 78 nucleotides. It matches the Rfam family "ASpks TB sRNA". The record is from Rfam. NCBI's taxonomy places the organism in Bacteria, Bacillati, Actinomycetota, Actinomycetes, Kitasatosporales, Streptomycetaceae.
CUUGAACGACCCCAGCCACAGCGGCCGGUCCGCCCCGGGCCGCUCCUUGCCGUAGGUGGCCAGCAGCGCCUGCGCCUC